GCUAGCACAGUCCUUCUGUAGCAGAGCUUAACGGAGACCUUGCACCCGAGAGGGGGGAGGCGACUAUAAAUGAACUCCCAGCGCAAGUCAGCACUGCUGGCAACACAAUCGAAUUGCGGGGACGCUUUAAAGCCCACCAGUACCAACUGCUCCUCUGGGGCAGGGCCAGCUCUGCUGGAGGUCACAAUCUGGUGGGAUGUUACAAUAAGCAAUCCGCAGCGGCUCGGCCGUCCACAGACUAAGUGGUUGUGGGUAGGUAGCCCCUACUUAAGAUAUAGUCGGGCCCUGUGACAGGUCACAGGGGCUUCUGCGUCCGUAGGUGAACCUGCGGAAGGAUCAUUAAUAAAAGGAUACCUUCGGGUAUACCCCACCCGUGUCUACAUACUCUUGUUGCUUUGGCAGGCCGUGGUCUUCCACUGUGGGCUCUGCCUGCAUGUGCCUGCCAGAGGACCAAACUCUGAAUUUUAGUGAUGUCUGAGUACUAUAUAAUAGUUAAAACUUUCAACAACGGAUCUCUUGGUUCUGGCAUCGAUGAAGAACGCAGCGAAAUGCGAUAAGUAAUGUGAAUUGCAGAAUUCAGUGAAUCAUCGAAUCUUUGAACGCACAUUGCACCCGGUGGUAUUCCGCCGGGUAUGCCUGUUCGAGCGUCUGUAGAACAACAACUAUAGCAAGCUUUAGGCUUGAUUCUGGGGUUGCGGCGUCAAGCUGCAGCCUUGAAGUCCACGGGCGGUUCCGAUAGGUUCUACGCGUAGUAAUUUCUCCUCGCUACUGAACUUUGUCGGCACAUUUGGUACUAAGUCCAGCAAUGGCCACGCCAAGCCCUUAACACCCAAUUUUAGUUUGACCUCGGAUCAAGUAGGGAUACCCGCUGAACUUAAGCAUAUCAAUAAGCGGAGGAAAAGAAACCAACAGGGAUUACCUUAGUAACGGCGAGUGAAGCGGUAAAUGCUCAAAUUUGAAAGCUGCCAACAGGCCGCGUUGUAAUUUGUAGAAGAUGCUUUGGGUAUCGGCCCAGUCUAAGUUCCUUGGAACAGGACGUCAUAGAGGGUGAGAAUCCCGUAUGUGAUUGGUGCCGGCCCCCGUGUAAAGCUCUUUCGACGAGUCGAGUUGUUUGGGAAUGCAGCUCAAAAUGGGUGGUAAAUUUCAUCUAAAGCUAAAUAUUGGCCAGAGACCGAUAGCGCACAAGUAGAGUGAUCGAAAGAUGAAAAGCACUUUGGAAAGAGAGUUAAACAGUACGUGAAAUUGUUGAAAGGGAAGCGCUUGCAAUCAGACUUGCAGGCGGUUGAUCAUCCGAGGUUCUCCCCGGUGCACUCGAUCGUCUUCAGGCCAGCAUCGGUUUCAGUGGUGGGAUAAAGGCUGUGAGAAUGUGGCUCUUCGGAGUGUUAUAGCUCACGGUGCAAUGCCGCCUACUGGGACCGAGGACCGCGCUUCGGCUAGGA
Molecule: ribosomal RNA, 1439 nt
Filed under: Helotiales sp. EF790
Lineage: Eukaryota; Fungi; Ascomycota; Leotiomycetes; Helotiales
Description: eukaryotic LSU rRNA
Rfam family: Eukaryotic large subunit ribosomal RNA (bases 842-1439)
Source: RNAcentral